CAGUAGCCGCGGUAAUACGUAGGGUGCAAGCGUUAAUCGGAAUUACUGGGCGUAAAGCGUGCGCAGGCGGUGUUGUAAGACUGAUGUGAAAUCCCCGGGCUCAACCUGGGAACUGCAUUGGUGACUGCAGCGCUGGAGUGCGGCAGAGGGAGAUGGGAUUCCGCGUGUAGCAGUGAAAUGCGUAGAUAUGCGGAGGAACACCGAUGGCGAAGGCAAUCCCCUGGGCCUGCACUGACGCUCAUGCACGAAAGCGUGGGGAGCAAACAGGAUUAGAUACCCCUGUAGUCCCUGUCUCUUAUAC
This 301-nucleotide ribosomal RNA is filed under the name uncultured bacterium. RNAcentral describes it as "partial 16S ribosomal RNA". It matches the Rfam family "Bacterial small subunit ribosomal RNA", at positions 509 to 807 of the family's 1533-position model. The record is from RNAcentral.